UAACCUUAGGCUUCUGUACAAGUGCAUUUACAUAAUUCAAGUGCUGUCAGAAAGCUGCUGUCUGCCUGUUCACCAUAGGAGAAGAGUAGGACAACAAGAAUACUCUGGUGCUUAUCGUGUUCCAGCUUAUGGUAAUAAUCAGUUACGGAUGCAAGCUUAUCUGAGACCAGAAAUAACUUUGAUGUUCACCCUGGAAUAAUCUCAAGAUCCAAAAAGACACAACAGGCAUUUAAGUGCUUAUAUUCCUUAUAUAACCAUGGAAGACAUGUAGGAGCCUCGAGGCUUUCAAGGGGAGAUUGUAUCUGCCUAAUUGAGCGAGACUCUUGGAGACUUCAGAAUCACUUACUGAUCCCCACUGACCAUAUAAUGAAGAAGUACUCUACCUGAGGCACCUAAUAAAAAGCCUGGACACAGCUUCAUGCCUGAACAGGAAUUUCAGAGGAGAAGGUAAGGACAUCAUGUUUAGGCCCAGAAUUUUGAGCUAAAGAGAUCUGAAAGAAGUCUAUGUCCCUGUUAUUCAUCCUUCUACAAAAGUAAGACAACAUUGUACUAAAGAAGAAAAGAGUACUUAUGGGUUAUUUAUUCCAAAACAACCUCAUAUCUCAUGAUAGACAUAACUGUGUGUUUAUAUUUUACCAUUUUAUAAGGCAUAGUACUGAAGAAUUUUCAGCAGAAGAGGAGAAAAUAUAGCUGAUAAGGUAGUCCAGUUCAUUGGGCUGAAAGUUUCGCUUCCACUUUCACUGGAAGGGGAGAUUUUGAAAUGACGGGACCGAUUAACUUAAAGAAGACAAAACAAACAAAAAAAAUACUAGAAUAAAAACCCCUGAAAGAAAACCUAUUAUCCCUCA
This 848-nucleotide long non-coding RNA is filed under the name Manacus vitellinus (golden-collared manakin). RNAcentral describes it as "lncRNA (ENSMVIG00005005878.1)". Lineage: Eukaryota; Metazoa; Chordata; Aves; Passeriformes; Pipridae. The record is from RNAcentral.